Molecule: ribosomal RNA, 48 nt
Filed under: Oryctolagus cuniculus (rabbit)
Lineage: Eukaryota; Metazoa; Chordata; Mammalia; Lagomorpha; Leporidae
Description: 40S ribosomal RNA fragment from Oryctolagus cuniculus (PDB 3J0Q, chain a)
Source: RNAcentral
GGAGGGCAAGUCAUGGUGCCAGCAGCCGCGGUAAUUCCAGCUCCAAUA